ACAGCCCGCGUCGCCGGCACCCGGCUUUCCGGCCCUCGUGCGCUCGCCGCGCGCGACUCGAUGGCGGACCCGAAGCUAGGUUCGCUCGGCGGGCAGCGGCCGCGGACCCCGGAGCUGAGCCGUGCGAGCCUGGCGCUCGGCGUUUCUCAGAGCUGAGGCCUGUGUGGGACCGCGGCGUCUGUCAGCGGCUGCUUUCUAGGAGCCGGUCCCGGGACAGAAAGAAGCGGGACGCCGUUACUGACCCGAGGGAGGCGACGCGGAAACCAGAAGGCGCCCACGGCAGAGGGACGACGCGUCCGUCACGGCGGAGGGGCGACGCGUCCACGCUGUUCCAGGCUAUCGCCACGGGCGCUUAGAAAACCCAAAGCGACUGCGGUCGGCCGACUCCCAGUCCUGCCGACUUUGUCGGACACAGUAGAGCUGCCCGUAGGGUGCCCGAGGCUGUAACCUUUACGGAAGCAGAGUGCCACAUCCUUCUCGCGGAGCAGCUGGUAGGUUCCAACCACACGACCUCUCCGUUAGCAGCGCCGCCGGGGCUCCUAGGAGUCAGUAAAUAAAAACCCGUUGAAAUUACAAUGCAGUGAGAUGGUUGUGUAGUGCUUGGGGUCUUAAAAUCUUGCAAGUGGCCAUCCAAGGCACAACAAAUACCUCUAUUCACCUGGAGCAACAGAGGGAGAAGAAGAGUCAGGAAUAGGAGGAGGGAAUGGAAUGUGUGGAUAAUUGCCACCAAGAAGGAUUGUGUUACAUCUGCCACCCACUCACUUCAGGCUCCUGUGCCAAGAGCUGAGCAGAACCCAGCCUAAGACAGUCCUAUUCCAUACCUCCACCUUCACAGAUGACCACACCUGCCUGAGAUGCCCUGCCGCUACAGGGAGCCAGCUGAGGACUCAUCCUGUCUGAGAUCUGGCGUGUCUGGGCGCCAUGAUGUCGCUCUGUCAGGGUCAUGUGUGGACAUCCAGUUUUGCCAGCACCAUCUGUUAAAAAGACUGUCUUUUUAAAAUCUGUUAAGAAAACAUUCUGCAUCCCACUUUGGAGAGUGACAUCUGGGGUCUUCAGCACUAGCAAGCAGCCAUCUAAGAUGCAUCAAUUGGUCUCAACCCACCUGGAUCAAAGGAGAAUGAAGAACACCAAGGACCCAAGGCAAUUACGAGCCCAAGAGACAGAAAGAGCGACAUGAACCAGAGACUACAUCAUCCUGAGACCAGAAAAACUAGAUGGUGCCUGGCCACAACUGAUGACUGCCCUGACAGGGAACACAACAGAGAACCCCUGAGGGAGCAGGAGAGCAGUGGCAUGCGGACCUCAAAUUCUCAUAAAAAGACCAGAGUUAAUGGUCUGACUGAGUCUAGAAGGACCCUGGAGGUCAUGGUCCCCAGACCUUCUGUUAGCCCAAGACAGGAACCAUUCCCAAAGCCAACUCUUCAGAAAGGGAUUGGACUGGACUGUGGGAUAGGAAAUAAUACUGGUGAAGAAUGAGCUUCUUGGAUCAAGUAGACCCAUGAGGCUAUGUGGGCAGCUCCUGUCUGGAGGGGGAGAUGCGAGGGCAGAGGGGGUCAGAAGCUGGCUGAAUGGAAAUGGAAAUAGAGGAUGGAGAGAAGGAGUGUGCUGUCUCAUUAGGGGGAGAGCAACUAGGAGUACAUAGCAAGGUGUAUAUAAAUUUUUAUAUGAAGAGACUGACUUGAUUUGUAAACUUUCACUUAAAAAAGAAAAGCACAAUAAAAAUUAAAAAAAAACAA
Loxodonta africana (African savanna elephant) is the source of this 1736-nucleotide long non-coding RNA. RefSeq lists it as uncharacterized. NCBI's taxonomy places the organism in Eukaryota, Metazoa, Chordata, Mammalia, Proboscidea, Elephantidae. The transcript has 4 exons. The record is from RefSeq and is a predicted model, not a curated record.